This is a long non-coding RNA of Leopardus geoffroyi (Geoffroy's cat), 4669 nucleotides long. RefSeq lists it as uncharacterized. The record is from RefSeq and is a predicted model, not a curated record. NCBI's taxonomy places the organism in Eukaryota, Metazoa, Chordata, Mammalia, Carnivora, Felidae. The transcript is spliced from 3 exons.
AAGACCCAGGAGACGAAAGUGCCUGCGACCCAGGAAGUUCAUGAUGCGGCUCGCUUGACCCAUUCCGCAUCGGGGAGACGCUGGGCCGGGGUCUGGGAUGGGGUUCGCAUGAGCGACCGCCCCUUAGCGCUGGCGGCUCCUUUGUGGGGGUCGAGCCGGGAGCCUCGGUGGGGUGCGCGCCCCACCUGCCGGGCACCCACGGGACUGCAGUCAGGGGAGGGGCCGGCGCCUGAGGCCGCCAGGUGGCGCCGUGUCCCCUGAAAACGACUUUCCCGGGUCAGACGGGGAAACUGAGGCCCGCGGAGUUAUUGGCUCCUUCUGAAUGUUCUACGGUAGAAUUGCCAGAUAAAUACCGGAUUCGCGGUUAUAUUUUAAGCGUAUCCUAAGUUUUGCACAGGACCUACUUAUACUAAAAAGGUUUUCAUUGUUUAUCGGAAAUGGAAAUUAGCCCCUUUCCCUACCCCAGACCCCCAGGGUUUAUCCCCAUCAGGUGACCCUGGGGCCCAUCCCACCCGCUCUCUCGGGUGCGCUGGCAUAUGCCUGUUCCUGGCAGCUCAAAAGGCAAGACCCGUGGUAGUAAUGAAAUAAUAAACUGGAAAAGUCUCCACCUACCUUGGACCGUGUCCCUCCCUGCUUAGGAGCCUCCAUGGCUCCCAUCACCCUCAGGAAAGAUCCGGCUUAUCCCUGCAGCUGGCAAUCUUCCCACUGCACUCUCCUCUGGCCCCGCAGGCCUUCCAGCUGUUUCUCACCAGAUGUUUCCUGCCCCAGGGCCUUUACACCGUCUGUGCUCCCCAUCUGUUGUGCUCUUCCCCCACCUCCGAGCUGCGUUCACACUUCCCAGACUUGCCUGCUCCAGGAAGCCUUCCCGGACUCACCCCCACCAAGGUCAGGCUCCCAGUGACCCACGAGGGGGCACACACGUCUUUCUCAUGACCCUUUCUGCUGCUCUAACUCUGCAUCUCUCCAGGUAGUCUGGCCCUUCCGUCCAAGACCAGGCAGGGACUGUGUACAGGACGCCCCUCCUCACUGCCGUGGCCCGACCCCCAGCGCAGAGCCUGGCACACGGGAGGGGCUCCAAAAACGAGGUCCAGCUAACUGGGCCCCAAACGACUCCUCUUCCUAGACCUCCCUUUCAGCCCUUCAACUUUGUGUGUUUUCCUGAGAUCAUCGUGAAUCCUGACGCAGAACUUCGCCAGGCUUCCCCCGACAGUGACAUUUUGUAACACGGCACUACGGUAUCACAACCGGGAUUUUGACACUGAUGCGACCCGCCCACCUUCUUCGGAUUUCCCAGUUUUAUGGGACGGGAGUGUGCCAUCACGAGGGUCCCUCCUGCUGCCCGCCCGCCCACCUCGCUCACCGGCCCUACCGCCCUCACCCCCGCAACCACCGGUCUCUUCUGCAUCCCCAUAACGCUCUCUCCUCCAGGUGCUGUUAGAAGCACACGUCGUCGUGUAACCUUGGGGGUUGCCUGAUUUUCCCCGCGUGCUUCUGGGAGAUGCGUGUCUGCCCCGCGCCCACAACUGUCUGCUGCUGAGUUGUGUCCCAUGGUGUGGGUGGGCGAGUGUGCCCGCCCACACGCGUGUCGUGGACGCCCGAGUUACCGCGUGUCGGCUGCCGCAGGUGAGCUAAGUGUGCGGGUUUUCUGUCCCGGAGCUUUUAUUUCUCUGACAUGAAUACCCCAGAGCCCCCUUCGCCUUCUUUAAAAAAAAGCAAAACAAAAACCGUUUUUCCCGCAGAAACUGUGCCACUCCCUCUGCGCACACUUUCUCUCUUCACCCCCACAACACACUUGGUCAUUCAUCCCGCAAAUAUCUAAUCAGCCCGGCCACGCGCUGGGCGCUGGGGAUACGUGGGGGACCACGUGAGACAGGCAGCCAGCAGGUACAACACAGGGACAUCAGAACCGUGAUGGGGGCAGCGCUGGGCGCAGAGAGCUCCAGGAAGGCUUCCCGGAGGAGGAGGAGCCAGCUGAGCUGAGACUUGAUGGAUGAGUGAGGCACAGCUGGCACGACAGCCAGACCUGCAUGUGCAGAGGCCCAGAGGCCAGAGGGAUGGCAGCAGUUCAAGCAGCUGCAGAGAGAGGGGCCGUGCUGUUUCCAGAUAAGUUGGGAGCCCUGGAGCCCUCCCAGAGAUGGGCGGGGGUCCUGCGGGAGUGACUAAGCCUCAGCCGGCAGGGCUGUUGGGGGAAGGCUGAACUAAUCCUGCGCAGGCAGCCCCACCCAAGCGACAUCUGGGCGGGGCGAGGCUCUGACAGCUCGCAGCAAUCCGGUGCAAACGGCGGUGUGGGGCUUCUGAGCCCGGGCCUCCAGGCUCUUCCUGGAACCUGUGCCAAGGGAUCAGCCUGACUUUCCGGGAGCACCAUGCGGCGGGAGGAAGCCCAACAGCCACACGGCGGGGGGGGGGGGGGGGGGGGGGGGGGGGGAAGAGGACUGCUCCGCCACUAGGCCUGCCAGGAAGGCCUUCUGGGGCCUUCCAGGUCCGGCCGCUAGGUGCGCCCGUCCAGCCCAGCCGAGCCCGGUGACCCCACAGACCCGGGAGUGAGAAUCGGCCGCUCUUCUGCCUCCCUCCGCUGUGGGGCGCUUUCUCAAGGAGCCGUCCGUCCGCCCGCCCGUCCGUCCGUCCCGCGAGCGGCUCUGUGCACGUGCUCCAGGGAGCAUCUGUGCACUCCGUGACACCCGCCCUUUCCCCAGCCGGGACGCUGGACACUCACCGGGUAGCAGUAACACUACUUUAUUUCGGCACUUUAAAAAUCGCACGCCGUUCACAUGUCCGUAUUUCUGAAAAUGGGACGAAGCUUAUAACGUUACGAUUGCAAGGCAGUGUGCGAAAGACGUCCGUCGGUGUUUUGGGGGAACGUUCCAGAGAAUGCCAGUAUCAAAGUGUCUUCAAUUUCAGGAAAUUACCGAAGCCCAGGCUCCACCCCCUCCUCGGCUCCGCCCCUGGACUCCGCGGCCCCUUCCCCAGCCCGCGCACCUGCUGCAUAUAGUUGACGAACUUGCACAUGAAGUCGCCCAGCACCCAGGCGGGCAGCGGGUAGAGCAGGGCCGUGAAGGGCACGCAGCACAACAGGAAGGUCACGUCCGUGGCCGCCAAGUUGGCUGCAGGAGGGAACACGCGGGGGCCUCAGCCACCCCACAGCCCGGCCCAGCCCCCACCCUUUCCUUGCCUUUCUCCCAGUAACCCGAGUAACCCGCAAGACCGCCUGGAAGAUCCCCCGGCGUCCUUCGGCGGAGAAAUUGGGGCGCCCUCCAGUCCCCCAUUUGUACACGUCAAACAUCCCCUCAGUACGGGUUUCGUGGCCAUUCGAGCGACAGUCAUUGCGCCCUGCGCGCCCCCGUCCGGGCUGGAGAGCCGGAGCGCGUUCCCGUCGCGGCUGGGAGAGCCGGGGUUGCGCCCCCGUCGAGGCUGGGAGAGCCGGGGAGCGCCCCCGUGGAGGCUGGGAGAGCCGGGGUGCGCCCCCGUGGAGGCUGGGAGAGCCGGGGUUGCGCCCCCGUGGAGGCUGGGAGAGCCGGGGAGCGCCCCCGUGGAGGCUGGGAGAGCCGGGGUGCGCCCCCGUCGAGGCUGGGAGAGCCGGGGUUGCGCCCCCGUGGAGGCUGGGAGAGCCGGGGUUGCGCCCCCGUGGAGGCUGGCAGAGCCGGGGUUGCGCCCCCGUCGAGGCUGGGAGAGCCUGGGCGCGCCCCCGUCGAGGCUGGGAGAGCCGGAGUUGCGCCCCCGUGGAGGCUGGCAGAGCCGGGUUGCGCCUCCGUCGCGGCUGGGAGAGCCGGGGCGCGCCCCCGUCCGAGCUGGGAGAGCCGGGGCGCGCCCCCGUCGCGGCUGGGAGAGCUGGUGUUGUCCCCGUCCGGGUCGGGAGAGCCGGGGUUGCGCCCCCGUGGAGGCUGGCAGAGGCGGGGUUGCGCCCCCGUAGAGGCUGGGAGAGCUGGGGUUGCGCCCCCGUGGAGGCUGGGAGAGCCGGGGCGCACCCCUGUCCGGGCUGGGAGAGCUAGGGUUGCGUCCCCGUCCGAGCUGGGAGAGCCGGGGCGCGCCCCCGUCGGGGCUGGGAGAGCCGCGCACGCCCCCGUCCCCUCUGAACCUGCCUCCCGGUCUGCAAGCUGGAGACAGUGGCGCUGCCCAGCAGCCACCACAGAAUAGAGGAAAACGAGCACUCUCACCUGAGCCAAGUCGGUCGGCCCAUCAUACAAAUGUGUGAACCGAGCCUUUCGUUGGCGCAAGGGUCGCAAACCGGGCUCCCGCGGGCCUAGCAGCCCCUCUCCCUACUUUCAUUCAUAGGACACGGUGUCACAAGAACCACGUUUUAACCAGACACCUUCCUCAGGGCCAGGCCAAGCUCUCCACAGGCCACUGUCCAGACUCCAGCGUUCUCGAGCUCUAGCCCAAGAGUCAGGGACAGUAGGGACGGGACCUGCUCCCUGCACGGGGCGGGGGGCGGGGGUGCCGUCUGGGAGAGCACAGCGCGCUAGGAGGCCCCCUGGGCCUCUCUCUGGGGACCCCCGGAGUGGUCGGCAGGUGCCCGGGCGCUCACCUAUGUAAAAGUUGGUCACCGUCCGCAUCUGCUUGUGGCGGCAGAUGACGAAAAUGACGAGCAAGUUCCCUGCCAGCCCGAGCAGCAUCAGCGCCACGAAGGAAACCGGCACAAGCCAGGCGUCCACCGGCCGCGGCACAGGGGCCC